GACGAACGCUGGCGGCGUGCUUAACACAUGCAAGUCGAACGGUAAGGCCCUUCGGGGUACACGAGUGGCGAACGGGUGAGUAACACGUGGGUGAUCUGCCCUGCACUUCGGGAUAAGCCUGGGAAACUGGGUCUAAUACCGGAUAGGACCACUGCCUGCAUGGGUGGUGGUGGAAAGCUUUUGCGGUGUGGGAUGGGCCCGCGGCCUAUCAGCUUGUUGGUGGGGUGAUGGCCUACCAAGGCGACGACGGGUAGCCGGCCUGAGAGGGUGACCGGCCACACUGGGACUGAGAUACGGCCCCGACUCCUACGGGAGGCAGCAGUGGGGAAUAUUGCACAAUGGGCGCAAGCCUGAUGCAGCGACGCCGCGUGAGGGAUUACAGCCUUCGGGUUGUAAACCUCUUUCAGCACCGACGAAGCGCAAGUGACGGUAGGUGCAGAAGAAGGACCGGCCAACUACGUGCCAGCCGCCGCAGUAA
This 478-nucleotide ribosomal RNA is filed under the name uncultured bacterium. RNAcentral describes it as "partial 16S ribosomal RNA". It matches the Rfam family "Bacterial small subunit ribosomal RNA", at positions 28 to 523 of the family's 1533-position model. The record is from RNAcentral.